AUUGAACGCUGGCGGCAUGCCUUACACAUGCAAGUCGAACGGCAGCACGGGAGCAAUCCUGGUGGCGAGUGGCGAACGGGUGAGUAAUACAUCGGAACGUGCCCAGUAGUGGGGAUAACCCGGCGAAAGCCGGACUAAUACCGCAUACGACCUACGGGUGAAAGCAGGGGAUCGCAAGACCUUGCGCUAUUGGAGCGGCCGAUGUCAGAUUAGCUUGUUGGNGGGGUAAAAGCCUACCAAGGCAACGAUCUGUAGCUGGUCUGAGAGGACGACCAGCCACACUGGGACUGAGACACGGCCCAGACUCCUACGGGAGGCAGCAGUGGGGAAUUUUGGACAAUGGGCGCAAGCCUGAUCCAGCCAUGCCGCGU
This 371-nucleotide ribosomal RNA is filed under the name uncultured bacterium. RNAcentral describes it as "bacterial SSU rRNA". It matches the Rfam family "Bacterial small subunit ribosomal RNA", at positions 30 to 402 of the family's 1533-position model. The record is from RNAcentral.